Molecule: ribosomal RNA, 301 nt
Filed under: uncultured bacterium
Lineage: Bacteria
Description: partial 16S ribosomal RNA
Rfam family: Bacterial small subunit ribosomal RNA
Source: RNAcentral
CAGUAGCCGCGGGAAUACGGAGGAUCCAAGCGUUAUCCGGAAUCAUUGGGUUUAAAGGGUCCGUAGGCGGUCUUGUAAGUCAGUGGUGAAAGCCCAUCGCUCAACGGUGGAACGGCCAUUGAUACUGCAGGACUUGAAUUAUUGGGAAGUAACUAGAAUAUGUAGUGUAGCGGUGAAAUGCUUAGAGAUUACAUGGAAUACCAAUUGCGAAGGCAGGUUACUACCAAUUGAUUGACGCUGAUGGACGAAAGCGUGGGUAGCGAACAGGAUUAGAUACCCGGGUAGUCCCUGUCUCUUAUAA